GGGACACGUGGUAUCCUGUCUGAAUAUGGGGGGACCAUCCUCCAAGGCUAAAUACUCCUGACUGACCGAUAGUGAACCAGUACCGUGAGGGAAAGGCGAAAAGAACCCCGGCGAGGGGAGUGAAAAAGAACCUGAAACCGUGUACGUACAAGCAGUGGGAGCACGCUUCGGCGUGUGACUGCGUACCUUUUGUAUAAUGGGUCAGCGACUUAUAUUCUGUAGCAAGGUUAACCGAAUAGGGGAGCCGAAGGGAAACCGAGUCUUAACUGGGCGUUAAGUUGCAGGGUAUAGACCCGAAACCCGGUGAUCUAGCCAUGGGCAGGUUGAAGGUUGGGUAACACUAACUGGAGGACCGAACCGACUAAUGUUGAAAAAUUAGCGGAUGACUUGUGGCUGGGGGUGAAAGGCCAAUCAAACCGGGAGAUAGCUGGUUCUCCCCGAAAGCUAUUUAGGUAGCGCCUCGUGAAUUCAUCUCCGGGGGUAGAGCACUGUUUCGGCAAGGGGGUCAUCCCGACUUACCAACCCGAUGCAAACUGCGAAUACCGGAGAAUGUUAUCACGGGAGACACACGGCGGGUGCUAACGUCCGUCGUGAAGAGGGAAACAACCCAGACCGCCAGCUAAGGUCCCAAAGUCAUGGUUAAGUGGGAAACGAUGUGGGAAGGCCCAGACAGCCAGGAUGUUGGCUUAGAAGCAGCCAUCAUUUAAAGAAAGCGUAAUAGCUCACUGGUCGAGUCGGCCUGCGCGGAAGAUGUAACGGGGCUAAACCAUGCACCGAAGCUGCGGCAGCGACGCUGAUGCGUUGUUGGGUAGGGGAGCGUUCUGUAAGCCUGCGAAGGUGUGCUGUGAGGCAUGCUGGAGGUAUCAGAAGUGCGAAUGCUGACAUAAGUAACGAUAAAGCGGGUGAAAAGCCCGCUCGCCGGAAGACCAAGGGUUCCUGUCCAACGUUAAUCGGGGCAGGGUGAGUCGACCCCUAAGGCGAGGCCGAAAGGCGUAGUCGAUGGGAAACAGGUUAAUAUUCCUGUACUUGGUGUUACUGCGAAGGGGGGACGGAGAAGGCUAUGUUGGCCGGGCGACGGUUGUCCCGGUUUAAGCGUGUAGGCUGGUUUUCCAGGCAAAUCCGGAAAAUCAAGGCUGAGGCGUGAUGACGAGGCACUACGGUGCUGAAGCAACAAAUGCCCUGCUUCCAGGAAAAGCCUCUAAGCAUCAGGUAACAUCAAAUCGUACCCCAAACCGACACAGGUGGUCAGGUAGAGAAUACCAAGGCGCUUGAGAGAACUCGGGUGAAGGAACUAGGCAAAAUGGUGCCGUAACUUCGGGAGAAGGCACGCUGAUAUGUAGGUGAAGUCCCUUGCGGAUGGAGCUGAAAUCAGUCGAAGAUACCAGCUGGCUGCAACUGUUUAUUAAAAACACAGCACUGUGCAAACACGAAAGUGGACGUAUACGGUGUGACGCCUGCCCGGUGCCGGAAGGUUAAUUGAUGGGGUCAGCGCAAGCGAAGCUCUUGAUCGAAGCCCCGGUAAACGGCGGCCGUAACUAUAACGGUCCUAAGGUAGCGAAAUUCCUUGUCGGGUAAGUUCCGACCUGCACGAAUGGCGUAAUGAUGGCCAGGCUGUCUCCACCCGAGACUCAGUGAAAUUGAACUCGCUGUGAAGAUGCAGUGUACCCGCGGCAAGACGGAAAGACCCCGUGAACCUUUACUAUAGCUUGACACUGAACAUUGAGCCUUGAUGUGUAGGAUAGGUGGGAGGCUUUGAAGUGUGGACGCCAGUCUGCAUGGAGCCGACCUUGAAAUACCACCCUUUAAUGUUU
This 1811-nucleotide ribosomal RNA is filed under the name Escherichia coli. Its description in RNAcentral is "partial 23S ribosomal RNA". It matches the Rfam family "Bacterial large subunit ribosomal RNA", at positions 419 to 2215 of the family's 2925-position model. Lineage: Bacteria; Pseudomonadati; Pseudomonadota; Gammaproteobacteria; Enterobacterales; Enterobacteriaceae. The record is from RNAcentral.